GCGUGUAGGCUGGUUUUCCAGGCAAAUCCGGAAAAUCAAGGCUGAGGCGUGAUGACGAGGCACUACGGUGCUGAAGCAACAAAUGCCCUGCUUCCAGGAAAAGCCUCUAAGCAUCAGGUAACAUCAAAUCGUACCCCAAACCGACACAGGUGGUCAGGUAGAGAAUACCAAGGCGCUUGAGAGAACUCGGGUGAAGGAACUAGGCAAAAUGGUGCCGUAACUUCGGGAGAAGGCACGCUGAUAUGUAGGUGAAGCGACUUGCUCGUGGAGCUGAAAUCAGUCGAAGAUACCAGCUGGCUGCAACUGUUUAUUAAAAACACAGCACUGUGCAAACACGAAAGUGGACGUAUACGGUGUGACGCCUGCCCGGUGCCGGAA
Molecule: ribosomal RNA, 378 nt
Filed under: Escherichia coli
Lineage: Bacteria; Pseudomonadati; Pseudomonadota; Gammaproteobacteria; Enterobacterales; Enterobacteriaceae
Description: partial 23S ribosomal RNA
Rfam family: Bacterial large subunit ribosomal RNA
Source: RNAcentral